This 363-nucleotide ribosomal RNA is filed under the name unidentified archaeon. RNAcentral describes it as "bacterial SSU rRNA". It matches the Rfam family "Archaeal small subunit ribosomal RNA", at positions 90 to 450 of the family's 1478-position model. The record is from RNAcentral.
UCAGUAACACGUAGUCAACAUGCCCAGGGGACGUGGAUAACCUCGGGAAACUGAGGAUAAACCGCGAUAGGUCACUACUUCUGGAAUGGGUAAUGACCCAAAAACCUAUAUGNGCCCCUGGAUUGGGACUGCGGCCGAUCAGGCUGUUGGUGAGGUAAUGGCCCACCAAACCUGUAACCGGUACGGGCUCUGAGAGGAGGAGCCCGGAGAUGGGCACUGAGACAAGGGCCCAGGCCCUAUGGGGCGCAGCAGGCGCGAAACCUCUGCAAUAGGCGAAAGCUUGACAGGGUUACUCUGAGUGAUUUCCGUUAAGGAGAUCUUUUGGCACCUCUAAAAAUGGUGCAGAAUAAGGGAGUGGGCAAG